RNAcentral lists this long non-coding RNA (676 nucleotides) under Theobroma cacao (cacao). Its description in RNAcentral is "long non-coding RNA (TCAC_LNC001906)". Lineage: Eukaryota; Viridiplantae; Streptophyta; Magnoliopsida; Malvales; Malvaceae. The record is from RNAcentral.
UGGCUUGAAGCUCGGUCACCCAAAACCCUAAAUAUCUCUUCCCUCUGCCAACAAUCCCUCCCUUCAUUUUUCUUUCCCUUUCUCUCUCUAGUCGCGGCCACCUCCCACUUCUCUCUAAACUUUUCCCUCCGUUGGUCGCUUUCUCCUUUUCUCUAUCCUCCCCUGCCACCGGUGGCUUGAAGCUCUGUCACCCAAACCCUAAAUAUCUCUUCCCUCCACUGACAAUCCUUAGAUCUGACAUAAAAAAAACUUGAAUCUUUCUCUCCUCUUUGCCGACGGGUUCUUGAUCGGUGCAAAGAGCUUCGAUUUCUCCUUUCUUUUUGGUCCUUAUCUGUUCCCCUUUAGUUUUUUAUUUAAUUUUAUUAUUUUUAAUUAAUUUUGUUUAAUUUUCAUUUUUAUUAUAUUAUUUGAUUAUUUUAUUUAUUUAUUGAUUAAUUUUUAUUAUAUACAUUUGUUUGUGUAAUAGGUGUCUACACUAACUUUUUUGGUGAGUUCUUGGACCGGAUCUGAGCCUAUUUGCCGAGCGUGGAGUUUUGGUUUUGCCGAGCAUAGACCGUUGUUGCUGUCGAUCUCCGUGCAUUGCUCAUUUUUUUUGGUGAGUGCUUGGACGGGAUCUUGUUGCUAAGCCUAUGUACAUGCUAUGUAAUUGAAGUUUGUUUAUGAAUGAAUUUCAAAA